Erinaceus europaeus (western European hedgehog) is the source of this 331-nucleotide unclassified non-coding RNA. Its record names the gene 7SK. It matches the Rfam family "7SK RNA". Rfam says of the family: 7SK was discovered as an abundant small nuclear RNA in the mid-70s but a possible function has only recently been suggested. Two independent studies have found that 7SK RNA binds the CDK9/cyclin T complex (known as elongation factor P-TEFb). P-TEFb activates transcription by phosphorylating the C-terminal domain of RNA polymerase II. The record is from Ensembl. NCBI's taxonomy places the organism in Eukaryota, Metazoa, Chordata, Mammalia, Eulipotyphla, Erinaceidae.
GAUGUGAGGGUGAUCUGGCUGCGACAUCUGCCACCCUAUUGAUUGCUAGAGUUGAUUCAACUGAUCCUGCUGGCUAGGUGGGUGUCUCCCCUUCUUCCCUCACCAUGUGCUUCCCUCCCUAAUCUGCGCGCUUAGUUGAAGAGGACAGCCUUACCAGAAUAGAGAUGACUGGUCUUUGGUAGAGGUUAUAGGAGUAGCUGCAUCCCCCUGCUAGAACCUCCAAAUAAGCUCUCAAGAAUCACUCUUUUGUUUGGCAAAUAUUCUGAGUAGUCUUGGGAAGAUGGGUGUCAGGACCUGGAAUAGUUGUCAAUUUAGUUCUCUGCACUGAAUU